GACGAACGCUGGCGGCGUGCUUAACACAUGCAAGUCGAACGGAAAGGCCCUGCUUGCCGGGUACUCGAGUGGCGAACGGGUGAGUAACACGUGGGUGAUCUGCCCUGCACUUCGGGAUAAGCCUGGGAAACUGGGUCUAAUACCGGAUAGGAGCCAUUUUUAGUGUGAUGGUUGGAAAGUUUUUUCGGUGUAGGAUGAGCUCGCGGCCUAUCAGCUUGUUGGUGGGGUAAUGGCCUACCAAGGCGGCGACGGGUAGCCGGCCUGAGAGGGUGGACGGCCACAUUGGGACUGAGAUACGGCCCAGACUCCUACGGGAGGCAGCAGUGGGGAAUAUUGCACAAUGGGCGCAAGCCUGAUGCAGCGACGCCGCGUGGGGGAUGACGGCCUUCGGGUUGUAAACUCCUUUCGCUAGGGACGAAGCUUUUUGUGACGGUACCUAGAUAAGAAGCACCAGCUAACUACGUG
This 465-nucleotide ribosomal RNA is filed under the name uncultured bacterium. Its description in RNAcentral is "partial 16S ribosomal RNA". It matches the Rfam family "Bacterial small subunit ribosomal RNA", at positions 28 to 507 of the family's 1533-position model. The record is from RNAcentral.